CGGGUGAGUAAUGCCUAGGAAAUUGCCCUGAUGUGGGGGAUAACCAUUGGAAACGAUGGCUAAUACCGCAUGAUGCCUACGGGCCAAAGAGGGGGACCUUCGGGCCUCUCGCGUCAGGAUAUGCCUAGGUGGGAUUAGCUAGUUGGUGAGGUAAGGGCUCACCAAGGCGACGAUCCCUAGCUGGUCUGAGAGGAUGAUCAGCCACACUGGAACUGAGACACGGUCCAGACUCCUACGGGAGGCAGCAGUGGGGAAUAUUGCACAAUGGGCGCAAGCCUGAUGCAGCCAUGCCGCGUGUGUGAAGAAGGCCUUCGGGUUGUAAAGCACUUUCAGUCGUGAGGAAGGUAGUGUAAUUAAUAGCUGCAUUAUUUGACGUUAGCGACAGAAGAAGCACCGGCUAACUCCGUGCCAGCAGCCGCGGUAAUACGGAGGGUGCGAGCGAUAAUCGGAAUUACUGGGCGUAAAGCGCAUGCAGGGUGGUUUGUUAAGUCGGAUGUGAA
This 500-nucleotide ribosomal RNA is filed under the name Vibrio natriegens. RNAcentral describes it as "bacterial SSU rRNA". It matches the Rfam family "Bacterial small subunit ribosomal RNA", at positions 103 to 598 of the family's 1533-position model. Lineage: Bacteria; Pseudomonadati; Pseudomonadota; Gammaproteobacteria; Vibrionales; Vibrionaceae. The record is from RNAcentral.